RNAcentral lists this long non-coding RNA (1386 nucleotides) under Piliocolobus tephrosceles (Ugandan red Colobus). RNAcentral's name for it is "lncRNA (ENSPTEG00000014748.1)". Lineage: Eukaryota; Metazoa; Chordata; Mammalia; Primates; Cercopithecidae. The record is from RNAcentral.
AUACACUUUAAAUAACAACUGACAUAAAAUUUAUCACUUUUUUUAAUUGUGGUAUUACUGUUAAAUUUUUUUGAAAUAUGUUUUUUUUUUUUUAGUUUACAAAGUUAUAUAUAUAUAUACAUAUAUACAUAUUCGUAUUUGUACAUAUGUAUAUAAAAUUGUGUGUUUUUUUUUUUAUAUUUUUUUUUUGAAGCAUACUUAAGUCUGAAUAUUCGUUUGUAAAACAUUUAUGUAAUAAAAAAAACACUAUAAAUAUUGGAAAAAACAUUUUUUUUUUUUUUUUUUUUUGUUAAUCUUAUUAUGGAAAGGAGUUAUAAAAAACCUGUUUAUUCCAAUAGAAAUAAAAUAAAAGAAAUCGAAAAGAGUUGCGAAGAUAGUUUGAACGAAAUAUUAAGGUCGGCUAUUGAAGUUACUGAAAUUUCUAAAAAGGCAGAAGAAGAAUUAGAACAACAAACAGAACAGAUAAAACAUAUCAAUGAUGAAACUGACAUUAUUAAAGAUAAAUUAAACCAAAGCCAAUAUCAUUUAGAGGGUAUAAAAUAUUGGUGGAGAAGUAUCAAUUCGUAUUUAGGGUUGGAAACUCUUAAUAAUAAUGAAAAUAAACAAACAAAUAAUUCAGACACUAAUUAUGCAAAAAAGGGAAGAGUUCAUACAAAUAAUAAAAAUACUACUGUAAAAAAUUAUAACAGAAUUUAUGAAAAUACACAGAAUAUUAAAGAAAAUCAAUCAGAAAAAAAAAGCUUCGAUGAGAAAUAUGAAAGCGAAUUAAACACCCUUUCUUCUAUAUUGGACGAACUGCAUGAUAGGGCGUUGGUUAUGGGGAACACAAUUAACGAGCAGAACAAACUAGUAAGUAAAAAACGGCAGAAAUAUAUAUAUAUAUAUGUCCGUGUGUGUAUAUGUAUACAUUUUUAUUUAUUUAUAUAUGAAUCGCAUGUGGAUAAGUCAAUCACAUGAUACUUAUAUAUUUAUAAGUUUGUUUGUUUUUAAUAUUAUAUAAUUAUUUUAAAUAGUUCUAUAAUUUUUUUUCCAUCUAAAAUCAUACACGCAUACGAGCGCACACAAAUUUUCAAUUUCAUGUAGAAUAUAUACAAUGCUUUUCUUUUUAUAUCAUUCGAUUCUGUUUUGUAUCAUGUUGUUCCUUUUCAUGUUGUUCCGUUUUAUGUUGUUUCGUUUUAUGUUGUCCCGUUUCAUAUUGCCCCGUCCCAUGUUGCACCGUUUCAUGUUACCCCAUUCCAUUUUGAUCUUUUUUCUUUUAUAUUAUAAAAUUAUAGUUAACUGGUGUAAAUGAAAAAAUGGAACAUAACAUAGAAAAGAUACAGGAUCAGCAAAAAUUAAUGAAAGAAAUAAUGAAAAAAUAAAUGUGUUACACAUUAUAUUAAUUCA